Molecule: ribosomal RNA, 615 nt
Filed under: Nothotylenchus sp. RH-2018
Lineage: Eukaryota; Metazoa; Nematoda; Chromadorea; Rhabditida; Nothotylenchidae
Description: partial 28S ribosomal RNA
Rfam family: Eukaryotic large subunit ribosomal RNA
Source: RNAcentral
AUAAGGUGGAAACGGAGAGAGCCGACGUAUCUGGCCUGUAUUAAGCCGGGUGGCUGUUCAUCGCUGAUUAGUCGGUCCUGCUUUUGGCUGGCUGGUCAGUGGUUGGGCGGUUUUACCGGUGCAUUUGCAGGUGGUGUGCGCCGAAGCUCGCACCAUGCAUCGGCUGGAUAGUUGCUUUGAGGUCUCCCUUCGGGCGAGAAACCCAAGCUUCUGGAAGGCUGUUUGCUGUGCGUGUAGCUUGGUCCACGGUUUUCGGUUGAGUCGGCAGAUGGUUCUUCCUGGGAUUAUGGUCUCAUGCGACUGUGUCUCAUUGGGUUCUGGCUGUCGGUAAGGCCCCGUGGCAUUCUUCGGUGUAAAAGUCGGUCAUCUCUCCGACCCGUCUUGAAACACGGACCAAGGAGUUUAACGAGUGCGCGAGUCAUUGGGUGUGAAAACUCAAAGGCGCAAUGAAAGUAAAGGUUCGCUUGACGAUCUUAUAUGCGAUCUCGGUGGUUUCGGCCAUUGAGAGCAGCAUAGCCCCGUCCCGACUGCUUGCACUGGGGCGGAGGAAGAGCGUACUCGCUGAGACCCGAAAGAUGGUGAACUAUGCCUGAGCAGGACAAAGCCAUAGGAAAC